CAGGGAGACAACAAAAUGUUUAAUAUUAUUAUUUUGUCACCUUAGGUCGAUCGGUAUCUCACGUUCUUAAUUUAUUGAGAAUUUCAUUUCCUAAGUUUUUCUAGGUCACACCCAUUAUUUUUCCUGGGCCAUUAGCUCAGGUGGUUAGAGCGCACCCCUGAUAAGGGUGAGGUCCCUGGUUCAAGUCCAGGAUGGCCCAUAUCUCUAUGUUGGGGGUAUAGCUCAGUUGGUAGAGCGCCUGCUUUGCAAGCAGGAUGUCAGCGGUUCGAGUCCGCUUACCUCCACUGAUUACCACCUCUUCCAUAACCGGUAGAAAGGAAAUGUUUUGAGUUGUGAUCAAAUUCUGAAAAGAAUCUAGCUUCCUAAUGAAAUCAUUAAGAUGCUGGACUCAUUGAAUUAAUUUCAUUGUUUUCAGAGAACCUUGACAACUGCAUAGAUUAUUUUUAAAGACAAUAAGCAUCUUUAAUGAUGCAGAUUUAUUAUUUGUGCGAAUGCAUUAAUAACAAUUCUAUUAAGCUGAUGCUUCAAUUUUUGAAGUUAUU
RNAcentral lists this transfer RNA (542 nucleotides) under uncultured Prochlorococcus sp. Its description in RNAcentral is "partial 16S-23S ribosomal RNA intergenic spacer". The stretch from base 212 to 284 matches the Rfam family "tRNA". Lineage: Bacteria; Bacillati; Cyanobacteriota; Cyanophyceae; Synechococcales; Prochlorococcaceae. The record is from RNAcentral.